UUCAUUUGGUUCAACUUAAAAUUAUAAAAAAUAAUUUUCUGAGAAACAUUUUAUGUUUUGUAGUGUUUGGUUUGUUAAAAAAAAAUGUUUUCAUGCAUAUUUGUUUGGUUGAAAGAAAAAAAAGAUUCACAUUUGUCUAUUUCUGUGGAAAAAAUGAAUGAUAAAGUUUUAUGCAACUUAAGUUUUCGUUUUCCGCUGAAAAAUAAUGGAAAACAAAUUCAAUUUUUUUUUCUAAAUUUGUAAAAAUAUUUUUCUAUAAAAAUAUUUUUACGUUGAACCAAACAAAUGAAAAAUUAUUUUUCAUACUGAAAAUAAUUUCUCGAUUCGUUUUACAUUGA
Molecule: long non-coding RNA, 338 nt
Filed under: Ananas comosus (pineapple)
Lineage: Eukaryota; Viridiplantae; Streptophyta; Magnoliopsida; Poales; Bromeliaceae
Description: long non-coding RNA (ACOM_LNC014407)
Source: RNAcentral